GUGAGGGACUGGGCAAAAGAAGAGGAUGGGGACAAACGCGCCCCAAGAGCGAAGGCAAACAGCUGAGGAGGUGCUGCCCGCAGCUCAGGCUUCCCAACAGGUUAGCUAGGCGCCGAUCCAACCGGCAUUUCGCAGGAAAGGGUGGGGGGAAGACAGCGAGAGGGAGAGUGCGCCUCACAGGAGGACAGAGGGAGGGAGGGAAAGGG
Non-coding RNA from Procavia capensis (Cape rock hyrax), 206 nucleotides. The record is from Rfam. NCBI's taxonomy places the organism in Eukaryota, Metazoa, Chordata, Mammalia, Hyracoidea, Procaviidae.